CAGAUAUUAAAAUAUAGUAUAUAUUAAUACAGUGGAAACCUCUAAAUACUGGAUACUCUCGGUCACUGAAAUUUAUUUUAACUAUUCUGAAAUACACCGCUGUUCUGUGUCUGUUAUUUUGUGGCCUGUAUCUAUAUUUAGAAGCUUUCAUAGGGGUAAGUAGUGAAAAUAUCGCCGUUCCCAAAAAAACCGUCCGCUAUUUAGAGGUGUCCGUUAAGAGAUCUAAUUGUUGGUUGAGGUAAUUAAUAAAGUUUUAAUACGAUUUUGUGCUUAGUACAUAUUAUGAUUUUAUCUUGAUAUUUUUUUUUAUCGCCGGGGGAGGGCAAAAAAAAAAAAGUCCUAGUUACGGCACUGUUGUACCGGCAUACAAAUACAAAAUGUAUCCGGUAUCUUGUACUGCGACGGUGAAACAUACCUACGUAACAUCCGGAAACUCGUUUUAAAGCCAUAUACCCGACAACAGGCGCCCGGCGGCGGGGCAAGCCUGAUCAGCCGUCUGGCCGUACUUUCUUAAGAUGGAGAACUCAAAUCAAUAUUUCGUGUAUCGCGUGCCUAGUACGCGGAUCUUUAACAUAGAGAACGUAAGUAUCGCCAGCGGGCUG
Molecule: non-coding RNA, 602 nt
Organism: Cinara cedri
Lineage: Eukaryota; Metazoa; Arthropoda; Insecta; Hemiptera; Aphididae
Source: the annotation of a GenBank genome assembly